GUGUUACUCUGGUAGCACAUAUACUAAAAUUGGAACGUUACAGAGAAGAUUAGCAUGAACUCUGCGCAAGGAUGACACGCAAAUUCGUGAAGCAUUCCUCAUUUUC
Molecule: small nuclear RNA, 106 nt
Organism: Myripristis murdjan (pinecone soldierfish)
Lineage: Eukaryota; Metazoa; Chordata; Actinopteri; Holocentriformes; Holocentridae
Source: Ensembl